UUACAUACUAUAGAGAAAAAUGGCAGACAAAUUGCCAGAGGAAGAGCAUCCAAAACCGGCCUUUGGAUGGGCUGCAAGAGACCAGUCUGGGGUCCUCUCCCCCUUCAAAUUCUCCAGGAGGUUCUUCCUCAUUCCCAUCACCUUACUUUUAGUCUCGUAUUAUUUGCUUUUUAAUCUCCUUUGUGCAUUUUACAUGUUCCUUAAGUCGGUUUAUAUAUUAAUUUAAACAAAAGGGCUAUUUCUAAUUUCUUGCAGAGCAACAGGGGAAAAGCAAGGUGUUGUAUUGUGGGAUAUGCCACUCCGAUCUUCACAUGGUCAAGAAUGAAUGGGGCGUUACUCAAUACCCUCUUAUCCCUGGGUACGUAUAUCCAUAUUGAGUAGCCUGUGUGUUUGUUUUCAUUUGAAUUGAUUGUUAUGUCUUGGUGGUUCUUAAUUUGGAAUGGAAGAGGAUGGGAUUUAGCCAUAAGAACACAAUUAAUUUCAUUUGAAUAUAUUCGGAGAGAUUUAAUCUGGAAAGCGAGUAAUUGUUUGGAGAUAACCCUUACAGAUGAAGAAAAAAAGAGAGAAAACAAGGUCUAGUUCUUCCCAAAUGCUGUGCUCCCAUAUAAAUUGUCAGGAUCCUAGCUAUAGCAACCCUUUUCAACUGUAAAAUGGCUCUUUGAAUUUCCUAUCAUGAAUUUUUGUUUCCUUUUUGUGAAUGAUUAAGAUCAGAAACUGUUAUUGAUGAUAUUAAAAUAUAACAAGAAGCCAACAAGUAACUGUAGCUAAAUCAGUUAAACAACGAGCAAGACAGCAUAAAAGUUCAAUUAGCCAGAAGCUAGAUUUCUAGGAAGGAAAACAGAGAAGCAUUUAACAGAAUAUUUGUUGAAGAUGCUUACUAAAUUUAAUGAUUCCAAUGAAUUUCCAUAAGAUUCUAGGAUCAGAUCAACUCCUUUUGCUCAUUCAUCAAUGAAGUUAAAGCGCUAUAGCUCUUAGAAUUUAUAAAUAUUGAAAAUCUAAGGGUAACGAGUUAAUUAACUGUCUGAAUGCAGGCAUGAGAUUGUCGGAGUAGUGACAGAGGUGGGGAGCAAAGUAGAAAAAUUCAAGGUCGGAGACAAAGUGGGUGUAGGGUGCAUGGUUGGAUCAUGCCGCUCUUGCGAUAGCUGUGACAACAAUCUUGAGAAUUACUGUUCAAAAAUGAUACUUACUUACGGUGCCAAGUACUAUGACGGAACUGUCACAUAUGGAGGCUACUCAGAUAAUAUGGUUGCUGAUGAACACUUCAUUGUUCGUAUUCCAAAUAACCUACCUCUCGAUGCUGGUGCUCCUCUCUUGUGUGCUGGAAUCACAGUCUAUAGCCCCUUGAGAUAUUUUGGACUUGACAAACC
RNAcentral lists this long non-coding RNA (1367 nucleotides) under Populus trichocarpa (black cottonwood). RNAcentral describes it as "long non-coding RNA (PTRI_LNC003638)". The record is from RNAcentral. Lineage: Eukaryota; Viridiplantae; Streptophyta; Magnoliopsida; Malpighiales; Salicaceae.